UUGAGUGCAGGAUUCUUUGGUUUAUUCGGAGGUCUAUGCGGGGGUCCAGUGAAGUGUGAGUAGAUUGGUCUAAACUAAAUGAGUAGUUCCUAGGGGGAAAAAAAAGGCAAACUUUCCAAUUGUAUCUUUCAGGGGUUGGAAAAGAAACCCGUUCCAGAGGUCGGAGCGGCUCAUUUAUUGGACCUGCCUCUUGGGGUCAAAUUGCCCGUGAUCCCAGGAAGCACAAAUGUAUUCUAUACUACAAAUUUAAGUGAAAAGCUUUAUCAACCUUCUUACGAUUUUAACCUGACUGAUCCUUACUGUCGACUUUUGGAGACAAGCUAUCAAAGUCUGCACGAUCCACAUUUAAAAUCAUACCAUAGGAGAAAAGAUAUUUUGAGGAGGCUCAAGAAAGGCGGCUACAUAACCAGCAAUAAUAAAGUUAUAUGUACCAUAAAGGAACUAAAUAAGUACAGGCAGUACCUAACGAGUUUGAAGUUAGACUUUGAAAGGAACUAUGUAAGAGAACAAAAAAUGAUUGAAAAACAAGUAAAUAAAUUGUAUGAAAGCAAGAGAGCCCUUGAACGUCCUAACAUUGCACAAUUCCAAGAAUGGCUGUUCCACAAAGGCCCACCAAUAACUCCAGAGCAAGACCAACUGCUGAAGUACCGAUAUUUAGAUAUGGUUAGGAAGGAAUUAGACAAAACUGAACAUACAGCAGAAAAACAGAGCACAUCCCGGAUGAUGGAAGAAGAAAGUCGACACCGGGACCACAUAAGAAGAAAACUUAGUCUCCGUAAACAAAUUGAAGAGGAAUGGAAAACAAAGGAAAUGUUACUUCUGACAAAGAUUGGGGAAGAGGUAAGAAGAGAAUCUAGGAUUGAGGAGCAUCGUCGGAAAAGCCGAGAAGAAAC
Long non-coding RNA from Trichechus manatus latirostris (Florida manatee), 893 nucleotides. RefSeq lists it as uncharacterized. The transcript is spliced from 6 exons. NCBI's taxonomy places the organism in Eukaryota, Metazoa, Chordata, Mammalia, Sirenia, Trichechidae. The record is from RefSeq and is a predicted model, not a curated record.